This 467-nucleotide ribosomal RNA is filed under the name uncultured bacterium. RNAcentral describes it as "partial 16S ribosomal RNA". It matches the Rfam family "Bacterial small subunit ribosomal RNA", at positions 29 to 507 of the family's 1533-position model. The record is from RNAcentral.
ACGAACGCUGGCGGCGUGCCUAACUCAUGCAAGUCGCACGGAAAGGCCCUGCUUUUGUGGGGUGCUCGAGUGGCGAACGGGUGAGUAACACGUGAGUAACCUGCCCUUGACUUUGGGAUAACUUCAGGAAACUGGGGCUAAUACUGGAUAGGAGCUCCUGCUGCAUGGUGGUGGUUGGAAAGAUUCGGCGGUUGGGGAUAGACUCGCGGCUUAUCAGCUUGUUAGUGGGGUUGUGGCUUACCAAGGCUUUGACGGGUAGCCGGCCUGAGAGGGUGACCGGGCGCAUUGGGACUGAGAUAGGGCCCAGACUGCAACGGGAGGCAGCAGUGGGGAAUAUUACACAAUGGGCCGAAGCCUGAUGCAGCAACGCCGCGUGCGGAAUGACGGCCUUCGGGGGGUAAACCGCUUUCGCAUGAAACGAAGCGUGAGUGACGGUAAUGGGUAAAGAAGCACCGGCUAACUACGUG